UACGUAGGGUGCGAGCGUUAAUCGGAAUUACUGGGCGUAAAGCGUGCGCAGGCGGUUUUGUAAGACAGAUGUGAAAGCCCCGGGCUCAACCUGGGAAUGGCAUUUGGGACUGCAAGGCUUGAGUGCGGCAGAGGAGACUGGAAUUCCUGGUGUAGCAGUGAAAUGCGUAGAUAUUGGGAAGAACACCGGUGGCGAAGGCGGCGACCUGGUCCGAUACUGACGCUGAGGCGCGAAAGCGUGGGGAGCAAACAGG
This 253-nucleotide ribosomal RNA is filed under the name uncultured bacterium. RNAcentral's name for it is "partial 16S ribosomal RNA". It matches the Rfam family "Bacterial small subunit ribosomal RNA", at positions 524 to 776 of the family's 1533-position model. The record is from RNAcentral.